GUGCACCAGGCGCGAAACCUCCGCAAUACACGAAAGUGUGACGGGGCCAUCCCGAGUGCCGUCCGCUGAGGACGGCUUUUCCCCAGUGUACACAGCUGGGGGAAUAAGGAGAGGGCAAGCCUGGUGUCAGCCGCCGCGGUAAUACCAGCUCUCCGAGUGGUGGGGACGCUUAUUGGGCCUAAAGCAUCCGUAGCCGGCUGGGCAAGUCCUCCGUUAAAAUCCAACGAUUCAAUCGUUGGGCUGCGGGGGAUACUGUCCAGCUUGGGGGCGGGAGAGGCCGACGGUAUUCCCGGGGUAGGGUGAAAUCCUAUAAUCCCGGGAGGACCACCAGUGGCGAAGGCUGUCGGCUAGAACGCGCCCGACGGUGAGGGAUGAAAGUUGGGGAGCGAACCGGAUUAGAUACCCCUGUAGU
RNAcentral lists this ribosomal RNA (412 nucleotides) under uncultured microorganism. Its description in RNAcentral is "bacterial SSU rRNA". It matches the Rfam family "Archaeal small subunit ribosomal RNA", at positions 330 to 745 of the family's 1478-position model. The record is from RNAcentral.